RNAcentral lists this transfer RNA (72 nucleotides) under bacterium. RNAcentral describes it as "tRNA-Gly". It matches the Rfam family "tRNA". From Rfam's summary of the family: Transfer RNA (tRNA) molecules are approximately 80 nucleotides in length. Their secondary structure includes four short double-helical elements and three loops (D, anti-codon, and T loops). The record is from RNAcentral.
GCGGCGGUGGCGCAAUGGUAGCGCUCCAGCUUCCCAAGCUGGCCGUUGCGGGUUCGAGUCCCGUCCGCCGCU